This is a long non-coding RNA of Salvia miltiorrhiza (redroot sage), 864 nucleotides long. RefSeq lists it as uncharacterized. The record is from RefSeq and is a predicted model, not a curated record. Lineage: Eukaryota; Viridiplantae; Streptophyta; Magnoliopsida; Lamiales; Lamiaceae. The transcript has 2 exons.
AAUUGUGGCACCCAAAAUGUCGUAGGAGUAAUUGUUAAUUGGAGUUUUUGCAUAUAAAUAUAUUUUGGGAGCUGGGGCGGUUGGCGUUAAGGAAGUAACGGCGUCAAGUCAAGUGCGAUCGGGUAAGAAACACGCUGGGUGUUUGUUAGUUGGAUUCCGGUUUUAUCUAUAUGAUGAAAGGACGAAAAAGGGCCUGGGCUGCUAUGCUGAUUAGGUGGGACGGGCAGGUCGAGUGGGCCUUCAAAUCUGUGCUGUUUCUAAGAUAAUGCAGAGAAAUUUUUUUCAAUUAAUUAACAUCACCACUCCCAUUUCUCUCUCUCUCUCCGAGAAAUUGCAGACAACUUUGAUUUGAAGUUCUCCGUUUUCUUCUCCGGCAAAUUUCCACCGUCGUUCGCUGUUGCCCUUGUCUACGUUGCUCCCUUUCUCUCUCUCUCUCUCAAGUUGCAGCUUAAUAAGAGAUUCACAGUGAAGCUGCAGCUGCAGCUGGGGUGGCCAGCCGCCGAAAUUCCUCAUCAUCGACGACCACUGCCAGUCCACUGAAUCGGAAGCUUGUGCAGAAGAGAGGGAGAACAAAGAGAGACAAGGGUGAAAUCAGGAGAGAGAGAGAGAUGUGGAAUUUAAAUUAAAUUUUGAUUUUUUAAAACUUAUUUUAUACUAAUUAAAACGAUAAAUUGAAUUUGGACAAAAAUUUAAAUUGUGGAAAAUUCACAAGAAUAUCUAAAUUAAUGUACUCCAUUUAUUUAUAUCUUUAAAACUUUGCGUGCAAAAUCAAAAUUGACCCAAAGUUAUAGAUAUAAACAAUGUAACAAAAUUAUCCCCAAAAUCAAUUUUUUAGAGAUUGAAAAAGAGUAAGAGGCUAAGAGC